RNAcentral lists this long non-coding RNA (485 nucleotides) under Homo sapiens (human). Its description in RNAcentral is "non-protein coding lnc-WRNIP1-24:5". Lineage: Eukaryota; Metazoa; Chordata; Mammalia; Primates; Hominidae. The record is from RNAcentral.
UUUUACUACUUUAUGAAUGGAAAAGUACUUCUAAGAAUGGAAGUGGUGUCGGACAUAAAAGAUACUGAACUAGGGCUGGGCUCAGUGGCUUAUGCCUGUAAUCCUAGCACUUUGGGAGGCUGAGGUAGGCGGAUCGCUUGAGGCCAGGAGUUCAAGACCAACACGGCCAAUGUGGCGAAACCCCGUCUCUACUGAAAAAUACAAAAUUAGCUGGGUGUGAUGGUGGGUGCUUGUAGUCUCAGCUACUUGGGAGGCUGAAGCAAGAGAAUUGCUUGAAUCCAGGAGGAGGAGGUUGCAGUGAGCCCAGAUCAUGCCACUACACUCCAGCCUGGGUGACAGAGUGAGGCACUGUCUCAAAAAAAAAAAAAAAAAAAAAAAAGAUACUGAACUAGGCACUUGACAUCCAAGAUGUCCACUUGGCCCUUUUCUAAGUGUACUUCACUUUGUUUUCAUUCCUCCUCUAAAGCUUUUUAACAAACUGUCAC